GACGAACGCUGGCGGCGUGCUUAACACAUGCAAGUCGAACGGAAAGGCCUGCUUUCCCUUGUGGAUUGCGGGUGCUCGAGUGGCGAACGGGUGAGUAACACGUGAGUGAUCUGCCCCCAACUUGGGUAUAAGCCUGGGAAACUGGGUCUAAUUCCCGAUAGGACUGCAGGGUGGUGCCUGUGGUGGAAAACGAUUUUCUAGUGGUUGGGGAUGAGCUCGCGGCCUAUCAGCUUGUUGGUGGGGUAAUGGCCUACCAAGGCGGCGACGGGUAGCCGGCCUGGGAGGGUGGACGGCCACAUUGGGACUGAGAUACGGCCCAGACGGCUACGGGAGGCAGCAGUGGGGAAUAUUGCACAAUGGGCGGAAGCCUGAUGCAGCGAGGCCGCGUGGGGGAUGACGGCCUUCGGGUUGUAAACUCCUUUCGACCGCGAGGAAGCCACCUGGUUGGAAGGGUGGUGACGGUAGUGGUAGAAGAAGCACCGGCUAACUACGUG
RNAcentral lists this ribosomal RNA (494 nucleotides) under uncultured bacterium. Its description in RNAcentral is "partial 16S ribosomal RNA". It matches the Rfam family "Bacterial small subunit ribosomal RNA", at positions 28 to 507 of the family's 1533-position model. The record is from RNAcentral.